This 109-nucleotide ribosomal RNA is filed under the name Candidatus Sumerlaea sp. Lineage: Bacteria; Candidatus Sumerlaeota; Candidatus Sumerlaeia; Candidatus Sumerlaeales; Candidatus Sumerlaeaceae. The record is from RNAcentral.
GGUGACUAUAGCGAGGGGGAAACGCCCGUUCCCAUUCCGAACACGGAAGCUAAGCCCCUCAGCGGCGAUGGUACUAUGCGGGCGACUGCAUGGGGAGAGUAGCACGUCG